CUUCACUCGCCAAACUCCGAAUGCCGGUAAGUGAGAGCGUGGCAGUGAGACUGCGGGGGAGUAAGCUCCGUAGUCGAGAGGGGAAACAGCCCAGAUCACCAGCUAAGGUCCCUAAGCGUGUGCUAAGUGGAAAAGGAUGUGGAGUUGCCGUGACAACCAGGAGGUUGGCUUAGAAGCAGCCACCCUUUAAAGAGUGCGUAAUAGCUCACUGGUCAAGUGAUUCCGCGCCGACAAUGUAGCGGGGCUCAAGCACACCACCGAAGCUGUGGCAUUGACACACUGCUCGGCACCCUUGUGGUGUCCAGGCGUGUUGAUAGGUAGGGGAGCGUCGUGUGGCGAGUGAAG
This 345-nucleotide ribosomal RNA is filed under the name uncultured bacterium. RNAcentral describes it as "bacterial LSU rRNA". It matches the Rfam family "Bacterial large subunit ribosomal RNA", at positions 940 to 1255 of the family's 2925-position model. The record is from RNAcentral.